RNAcentral lists this ribosomal RNA (468 nucleotides) under uncultured bacterium. Its description in RNAcentral is "partial 16S ribosomal RNA". It matches the Rfam family "Bacterial small subunit ribosomal RNA", at positions 28 to 507 of the family's 1533-position model. The record is from RNAcentral.
GACGAACGCUGGCGGCGUGCUUAACACAUGCAAGUCGAACGGAAAGGCCCUGCUUUUGUGGGUUGCUCGAGUGGCGAACGGGUGAGUAACACGUGAGUAACCUGCCCUUGACUUUGGGAUAACUUCAGGAAACUGGGGCUAAUACCGGAUAGGAGCUCCUGCUGCAUGGUGGGGGUUGGAAAGUUUCGGCGGUUCGGGAUGGACUCGCGGCUUAUCAGCUUGUUGGUGGGGUAGUGGCUUACCAAGGCUUUGACGGGUAGCCGGCCUGAGAGGGUGACCGGCGACAUUGGGACUGAGAUACGGCCCAGACUCCUACGGGAGGCAGCAGUGGGGAAUAUUGCACAAUGGGCGGAAGCCUGAUGCAGCAACGCCGCGUGCGGGAUGACGGCCUUCGGGUUGUAAACCGCUUUCGCCUGUGACGAAGCGUGAGUGACGGUAAUGGGUAAAGAAGCACCGGCUAACUACGUG